UUUAUAUAUACAUCUAUAGUUAAUAUGUACUUUUUAUAUUAUCUAUGUAUACCCUUGGCACUUUUGUUAUGUAUUUGUUGUUCAAGCAUUAAUAAAAAAAAACUAAUCCGCAGAGUAGCGGCGCUCUGAUGACGUAGAAUAGAUGCGACAGAGCGCACAGCUGCCCAAGCGGAAGGAAUGGCGUCACCAGGCCGGAAGUAAGCAAACUUUCGGCGAGAGCUUCUGUGGAUGUCACGGGGCCGAUGCAGGAGUCCAAGUUCUUUAAUGACUGAUAUACAUGAUGGAGUGUUAUGGCUGUUCUAUUCUAUCAGCUGAGUCGCCGAAUAGUUCAUUAUGCCAGUCACACGGGCUCCACGUCUGUUAGCCGCUAGCCUCAGGGGCAAUAUGCAGAGAAAGAGAAGAAAUCAUCCGUCACGUGGCCGGAGAAAUCGAGACCAGAAGAGAGAAAUCCGUAUAAGAUCCGUAUAACAGACCCAAAUAUUAUAUAGAAGUAGCGCCAGUAGUCUAACGCUGUGACUAUUUUACAGUUAAAACUCGUUAAAACUCGAGUGGAGAAGCGGCGAACAGACAACGCCAGCGUCCUCUUGCACCCAGGACCCCAGUGUUAGCUGGAGGACAGUAUGAGGGGUUGUGGGGACACACCCACAGCACACAGCAGAUAUAUACAAGACGGGGUGUAUUAUACAGGAUAGAUACAAGUGCUGUACAUGCAGUAACCGGGUGGAGCUUCAGGGUGGAGCUUCAGGGUGGACCAAGGCCAAAAUAAUAAGCAAAAGACCCUGUUAUAGGGAACUGCCUGACCUCCACACAAACACCAAAACAAAACACAGCAUUACUUCCCUCACUACGAAAUACGAGCUCUAGUGACUUCAGGUGCUGUUCCCAGAGCAAUCAUCGGAGCAUCUUACUGACAGCGAGAGAUGAAAGGCUCUGCUGUGGACCACGUAGCGCCACCCUGCCAUAUAAGGUAUGCAAAUAUAUACAAAUAUAGUGGUGCAACAGCCAACGGUAAGUUUUCCCAAUUUCAGCAUGAAGUCGUAAGCCAACUUUAUGAUUUCUAAGUGGAAUCAUCCACAGAAAUCUCAUGUAUCUUUAUGCUGUCCCUGGUGUUUAAUGAUCCUACUUCGAUCAAAAGGUGCAAGAUCUUUGUUGGUACCACAAAUACCAAAGGCUGCCGCAGGGGGUAGAGCUUUCUCUUACAAAGCCCCACAGUUAUGGAACAGCCUUCCACUUAGUGUUCGGGGCUCAGACACAGUCUCAGUGUUUAAGUCUCGGCUGAAAACAUAUUUGUUUAGUCAAGCCUUUAGUGAAUAGUUUUUUCUUAGGUACAGGGGCAGGUCUGGAGGGUUUCACAGGCAUAGUGAAGUUUGGAUGCUGUCGCCCCCCCACUCUCAUGCGUUCACUCAGGUUUGUCGACGGUGGAGUGGCUGCUGCUUUAUGUCCCAGGACUCCCUCAUGUCUGUGUUAGCUUCUGGCUCUCCCUUUUAGUUAUGCUGUCAUAGCUAGUCUUGCCGGAGUCCCUGCUUGCACUCUGCACACAAAGUACAUUGUCCUUAACCCUUACAGGACAAAAGCUUACUUAACAAUCUCUUCCUCUCUCUCCAUCUCUCUCUCUCUCUCUCUCUCUGUCGAGCUACACAUGCUACUCCUGGACCCACAUGGGCAGCCUGAAGAUCAUUGAGAUUACUGAUGGUACCACUUAAAAACCAUGAAGAUGGCUUUGGUUUCCUCCUUUUCCCAGCACCGAUAGGGUAGCUUUGCUUCAUUUUUGCUCUGUCUGUACACUUCACUGAGCUGUUUGUUUACACACUGUCUCUCUGAAUCAUUUCUACAGAUGCGCAGUAAAGAUCAUGGAACAGUCCAAUGUAGUACGUACUGAGGGAGUAAAACAAAGGGAGUAAAAUAAACUCAUGAAUUAAGCAUUCUGAUGACAUUUUAGGGUAGGGACUUUUAAUGAUUAAAAACUAUUAACUAAUAAACAAGCAGCGGCAUAUGCAUUAUUGAAACGUCGCUGGGGCUCCACACAACCCAAACGGAAGGGUGACAAACUGGUGUAACACAAACUGUGGAAAAGGCUGUUUUUUUCACGAGAUAUUGCAGUCAAGGGAAUCUGCCAAUACCCCUUGGUUAAAUCUAGUGUUUAAUAAAUGUGAGCCGUGCCUAACCGAUUGAGCAAUUCAUCAAUGUCAAUCAGAUAUGCGUCAAAUUUAGAUGCCGCAUUGACUUUUCUAAAGUCCACACAAAAAUGGACCUACCCAUCGGCCUUGGGCAUCAAAACCACCGGGCUGCUCAAGUCACUUUGGGACUGUUAUCCCAAACCACCUUUUUUUGUAAAUGGGUGCGGUUGACUGCGUACCAGCACACCUGGAGGAGUCUCAAUGUGGUGUUUUUUGAGAUUGGUGUUACCAGGUAGAGGUGAAAACACAUCAGAAAAUUCCUCCUGCAACCUGAGAUUGAGGUGGUAUACCUGAAGUGUAUCGCCUCUAUCUGUUCGCCUGACCUCAUACUUGACCCUAUUUGAGGUGAGGAGGAAAAUGGGACCUACCACUUAUGAGAUGUCGAUAUGGGGGGUGGAGGAGGGGGUAUAAACUGAUGAACAGUAGCUACCUCAGCCAUCUUCAGGAGGUAUGACCAUCACCCUGAAAACCAACAAGACCAAGUAAGAACUCUGUGCCAGUCAGAAGUGUUUCCAGAAACACCAGGAAAAACACAGUUGAUAGAACAUGAUAUUGUGCUUAAUGCUGAUGAUUGUGUGAGACAUGCGACUUUCAGAAUCCCAGAACGUCUGCAGAUAGCCUUGAAGCAGGAGGUCAACUUGAUGCUGAGCUUGGGGAUAAUUGAGCCGUCAAGAAGCUAAUGGUGCCAUCCAGUGGUCUUGGUGCCAAAGAAAGAUGGUACUAUGAGGUUUUGUAUCGACUUUAGGUAUCUCAUCGCAGUCUCAAAUUUUGACUCCUAUCCUACACCAUGAAUGGACAAUCUCAUUGAGUGUGUUGGUAAAGCCAAGUACCUGAUCACUAUAACCCUCUGUAAAGGUUACUGGCAGAUCCUCUUGACCCUGCGGUCCCAGGAGGCCUUUAGAACAUCAAGGGGCCUUUUCCAAUUUUUCGGUCCUCCCAUUUGGUUUGCACGGGGCUCCCACAAACCUCCAGAGACUCAUGGAGUUCACACUGGAGAUGGACCAGAACUCCUUCCAGUGGAAAGCAUGAGGGACACCAACAGAUGGAUCACCCAGUGUUUUACAGAAUACAUGGUAUGGUGAUGUUACGCAGUCAAAAGACUGGCCGGUUCCAGAGAGCAUGAAUUUCAGUUCCCCUGAAGACACCAACUAACCCCAAACAUCACGAGGGAGGGAAGAAAAAUCUGUUUAAUUAAUUGUAUCUGUGUCUGUUUAAUUAAUUGUACACUCCUUUGGUUAUGUUUUGAUAGUUUUCAUCUACCCAGUGUGAAUUUUAGUACACACUGAGAAAGCAUUGUACUUCCAUCAUCAGCAUCAGCCAAAGCUCCUUCAUACACUGAUACAGACGGUAUACUUUAUUCUCUGAAUAAUGGCUGAUAAUAAUGGACUUAAAUAACACUUUAUCAGUUGACUUUAUUGCCAUUUAUAGUCCACGUAUCUCCUCAGUGUAUUCAUGUUUAUGUACUAAAAUUUAGAAUAGAAACCUCAACAGUAGGUAAAGUCAACAGUGACCCCUACUGGCCUGUCUGCGACAUUACACACUGUUUCCAUCAGUUACACAGUUCACUAGUUACUUCAUUACUAGCUCAUGGUUUGUGUGUGGAUCUCCAUUCAUAAUAAUAAUGAUAAUGAGACUUGA
Molecule: long non-coding RNA, 3815 nt
Organism: Pangasianodon hypophthalmus (striped catfish)
Lineage: Eukaryota; Metazoa; Chordata; Actinopteri; Siluriformes; Pangasiidae
Exons: 3
Source: RefSeq, a predicted model, not a curated record